RNAcentral lists this long non-coding RNA (2488 nucleotides) under Sus scrofa (pig). RNAcentral describes it as "lncRNA (ENSSSCG00055003624.1)". The record is from RNAcentral. Lineage: Eukaryota; Metazoa; Chordata; Mammalia; Artiodactyla; Suidae.
CAGGUGGAACCCGGAGAAAGCCACGCAGAGAAGCCGGGCCAGUGUUUGACCGACUGUGCCUGGAACUGGGCCAGGGAGAGGAAGUUACAGAGGGUUUGCAAAAUAACUUCCCCUCGCUUCUGAAGGCAGUUCCUUGGCCAAGGAUCAGAUCCGAGCCCCAGUUUUGACCUACACUGCAGCUGCGGCAACACCGGAUCCUUAACCCACUGCCUGACAAGGGAUCUUGCUGUUUGUUUGUUUGUUUAAGGGCUCUUCUGUCUUCCCCCAAAACUUGUGAGUAUAAAGAAGGUUUUCUUGAGCUGCUUUACUUGGCCAGUCAUUCAUGAAUUCACUCAACAAUUGUCUUUGAUACGCCAGGCACUGAGGACUCAAAGAGGAACAAAAGAGACAAUAUCUCUGCUCUGCAGAAACUGACAGUCUAUUGAAUGACAUAGUUGUCCAGCAAAGUGUGAUUAAUCUCUGAUGGCAGGACUCUACUCCAAGGGCACCUAACCUAGUCUGGGGCGACUGGUCAGGAAAACUUCCCGAAAGAUGAUUUUUAGGCUAAACCAGUCUGCCGACAAACCUAAGACAGUUAUAGGAGUCAGGUGGCAAAGUUAGCAUCAUUUCUUUAGUUAGCAAUUCUUCCAAAGUAAGGCAUGAAUAUAGGGCCAGGUCCCAACAAUAUAAUAAAUGCUGGUAGGCAGGACACAGCCCAAAUUAUAUAUAACAAGAGAGAGUGGCUAUGCAAAAAGAAUGUAAAAUCGAGUACAGUUCUUUUGGUAAACCACUGUUCUGAUUGUUGAUCAUGAAAAAAUGAGCUACUUCAAACUCACAAAGUCUAAUUUUCCUAGGAAAUAGUUUACUUCAAAUAGCCUCGAACAGCGGUACUAUCUUACAGUCUGGAAUGUUUGGGGAUGUUCUUAUGUUUUAAAUCUACUCCUUAGAAAAUAUCACAAAAAGGCAUCAUACUGAUGCAGCUAAAAAAUCAAUUCCUGAUUUACCUAAUCCUCCUUACUCAGUUAUUAUGAUCAUUUUGUCUUUUUGUCUUUUUAGGGCCGCACCCGCAGUGUGUGGAGGUUCCCAGGCUAGGGGUCAAAUAGGAGCUGUAGCUGCCAGCCUACACCACAGCCACCGCAACGCCAGAUACAAGCUGGGUCUGUGACCUACACUAUCAUAGCUCACUGCAAGGCAGGAUCCUCAACCGACUGAGCAAGGCCAGGGAUCGAACCGAAACCUCAAGGUUCCUAGUUGAUUCAUUUCCACUGCGCCAUGAUAGGAACUCCUCCUCAGUUAUUCUAAUGAGACACAAAGAACUCUCCUACAGGGUUGCCGAGAUCCAAAAAUAGGGAGUUCCCAAAUUAUUUGUGCUUACUCUUUACUCAGCCCACAGCAAUCCUCUGCCUAUUUAUGUUAAUGAGAUUGUCCUCCUUAUUUAAUCGCAGCUUUCAGCUCUGGAAACACCUUAGCCCAGGGAAAGCCUUUAAAUACCAUGGAGCUUGUAGUAUUGGGUUAACAACCAAGAGUGGAAAUCAAACUCCAAGACUCUUCCAUGUGCUCACGAUUUCAGCAGGACAAUGGAAGGUAAACUGAGGCUCUAAGAUCCAUGUAGGAUAAGUGGGAGAAAAAAAAUCACCGCAAGGAGAUAUCUAUCACAUAGGAAGAUCUAAAAAUUCUGCCAACUCUUAACAUUUUAAUAUUGUUUUAUUUUAUUUUAUUUGUUUUGUCUUUUUGCUAUUUCUUGGGCUGCUCCCGUGGCAUAUGGAGGUUCCCAGGCUAGGGGUCCAAUCAGCCUACGCCAGAGCCACAGCAACUCGGGAUCCGAGCUGCGUCUGCGACCUACACCACAGCUCACGGCAACGCCGGAUCGUUAACCCACUGAGCAAGGGCAGGGACCGAACCUGAAACCUCAUGGUUCCUAGUCGGAUUCGUGAACCACUGUGCCACGACCGGAACUCCUUAUUUUAAAUACAUACAUUUGCAUAUAGUAAAAUCCUGGACCUUUAAUUUUUGAGGUUUUUUUUUUCUAUUUUAUAAUGAUUUUUAUUUGAGUUUUGACAGCUGAUUAUACGUACUUGUAUAACCUCCACCCAAAACAAUACGUAGAACAUUCUGUUAUCCCAGAAAAUAUCUUCAGUCCCUUUCAUGUUAAUUCGCCUCCUUAACAACAGCACUUUUUUGACUUCAGACACCAAAAAUUAGUUUGUCUGUUUCUGGAAUUCACAUAAAUGGAAUUGUACUGUUCAUAUUCUUUUGUAUCCCUUCUCUUUUGCCGAAUUGCUUUAAGAUUCAUCUAUGUUGUUGCAUCAGUGGUUCAUCCUUUUUUCUGUUCUUGUAGAAUUCCAUUGUAUGACUUGCCAUAAUUUGCCUUCCCACUAUCCUGCUGGUGGCUGUCUGGGCUGUCUCCACCUUGGGCUAUAAAGGAAUAAGGCUAUUAUGAACAUAUGUGUACAAGCAUUUUUGUGGACCUGUAUUUUCUUUUUUCUUGAAUAAAUAUUUAAGAGUAGAA